This 380-nucleotide unclassified non-coding RNA is filed under the name soil metagenome. RNAcentral describes it as "partial contains 5.8S ribosomal RNA, internal transcribed spacer 2, and large subunit ribosomal RNA". The stretch from base 1 to 120 matches the Rfam family "5.8S ribosomal RNA", at positions 35 to 154 of the family's 154-position model. The record is from RNAcentral.
GAUGAAGAACGCAGCGAAAUGCGAUAAGUAAUGUGAAUUGCAGAAUUCAGUGAAUCAUCGAAUCUUUGAACGCACCUUGCACCCUUUGGCAUUCUGAAGGGUAUGCUCGUUUGAGUGUCAUUGUACUCUCACACUCCCGAUCUUUGCAUUGGGAGCAGUGGACUUGGGUUUGCUGCUUCACCGUCGCUUACCUCAAAAAGGUUAGUGCAACUCUUGGUUGGACAUAGUACGGCGUGAUAAGUGUUCUUCGCCGGUGCCUCGCAAAGAGGGUGGCCGAUCGGGAUGUUGUGCUCCAAACCGUCUUCGGACAAUCUCUGACGACUUGACCUCAAAUCGAGUAAGACUACCCGCUGAACUUAAGCAUAUCAAUAAGCGGAGGA